GGACUACCGGGGUAUCUAAUCCCGUUUGCUCCCCUGGCUUUCGCGCCUCAGCGUCAGAAGAGGUCCAGCGGGUCGCUUUCGCCACCGGCGUUCCUUCCGAUAUCAACGCAUUUCACCGCUCCACCGGAAGUUCCACCCGCCCCUACCUCGCUCGAGACUCCCAGUAUCCAAGGCUAUUUUCCGGUUGAGCCGAAAGAUUUCACCCCGGACUUGAGAGCCCGCCUACGCGCCCUUUAAGCCCAGUGAUUCCGAACAACGUUAGGACGGUUCGUCUUACCGCGGCUGCUGGCAC
Molecule: ribosomal RNA, 292 nt
Filed under: uncultured Planctomycetota bacterium
Lineage: Bacteria; Pseudomonadati; Planctomycetota
Description: uncultured planctomycete partial 16S ribosomal RNA
Source: RNAcentral